RNAcentral lists this ribosomal RNA (1247 nucleotides) under Halomonas sp. HL14. RNAcentral's name for it is "bacterial SSU rRNA". It matches the Rfam family "Bacterial small subunit ribosomal RNA", at positions 38 to 1315 of the family's 1533-position model. The record is from RNAcentral. Lineage: Bacteria; Pseudomonadati; Pseudomonadota; Gammaproteobacteria; Oceanospirillales; Halomonadaceae.
GGUAGGGCGCAGCUACACAUGCAAGUCGAGCGGUAACAGGGCGUGUGCUUGCACCCCGCUGACGAGCGGCGGACGGGUGAGUAAUGCAUAGGAAUCUACCCAGUAGUGGGGGAUAACCUGGGGAAACCCAGGCUAAUACCGCAUACGUCCUACGGGAGAAAGGGGGCUUUGGCUCCCGCUAUCGGAUGAGCCUAUGCCGGAUUAGCUGGUUGGUGAGGUAACGGCUCACCAAGGCGACGAUCCGUAGCUGGUCUGAGAGGAUGAUCAGCCACAUCGGGACUGAGACACGGCCCGAACUCCUACGGGAGGCAGCAGUGGGGAAUAUUGGACAAUGGGGGCAACCCUGAUCCAGCCAUGCCGCGUGUGUGAAGAAGGCCCUCGGGUUGUAAAGCACUUUCAGCGAGGAAGAACGCCUGGUGGUUAAUACCCGCCAGGAAAGACAUCACUCGCAGAAGAAGCACCGGCUAACUCCGUGCCAGCAGCCGCGGUAAUACGGAGGGUGCAAGCGUUAAUCGGAAUUACUGGGCGUAAAGCGCGCGUAGGUGGCUUGAUAAGCCGGUUGUGAAAGCCCCGGGCUCAACCUGGGAACGGCAUCCGGAACUAUCAGGCUAGAGUGCAGGAGAGGAAGGUAGAAUUCCCGGUGUAGCGGUGAAAUGCGUAGAGAUCGGGAGGAAUACCAGUGGCGAAGGCGGCCUUCUGGACUGACACUGACACUGAGGUGCGAAAGCGUGGGUAGCAAACAGGAUUAGAUACCCUGGUAGUCCACGCCGUAAACGAUGUCGACCAGCCGUUGGGUGCCUAGCGCACUUUGUGGCGAAGUUAACGCGAUAAGUCGACCGCCUGGGGAGUACGGCCGCAAGGUUAAAACUCAAUGAAUUGACGGGGGCCCGCACAAGCGGUGGAGCAUGUGGUUUAAUUCGAUGCAACGCGAAGAACCUUACCUACCCUUGACAUCCUGCGAACUUGUGAGAGAUCACUUGGUGCCUUCAGGAGCGCAGAGACAGUGCUGCAUGGCUGUCGUCAGCUCGUGUUGUGAAAUGUUGGUUAGUCCCGUACGAGCGCAACCCUGUCCUUAUUUGCAGCGAGUUAUGUCGGACUCUAAGAGACUGGCGUGACAACUGAGAGGUGGGGACGACGUCAGUCAUCAUGCCCUACGUAGGCUACACGUGCUACAUGGCGGUACAAGCGCGGCGACUCCGGGAUACGCAUUCUAGCCGUUCAAUCCGGAAUCCGAAUCUGCCAACUGG